AUGGAAUUCGGGUUCGGGUCUCGGCUCGUAUCUCGGUUAAGUUUCGAGCUUUGGUCAAACAGUCAAGGCAGGUCAACCAUGGUCAAAGCUCGGUCAAACUGAGUCAGCAACAGUAAACCGUAGUCAACGGCAGUUAACUCGGGUCAACAGGCCGUCAACGGUCAACUGUCGGGUCAACAAACAGUUAACACGAGACCCGGAAUACUAUAGAUGCACGCUAG
RNAcentral lists this long non-coding RNA (221 nucleotides) under Helianthus annuus (common sunflower). Its description in RNAcentral is "sRNA HanXRQr2_Chr12g0555201". Lineage: Eukaryota; Viridiplantae; Streptophyta; Magnoliopsida; Asterales; Asteraceae. The record is from RNAcentral.